Molecule: unclassified non-coding RNA, 101 nt
Organism: Cercocebus atys (sooty mangabey)
Lineage: Eukaryota; Metazoa; Chordata; Mammalia; Primates; Cercopithecidae
Rfam family: Y RNA
About the family: Y RNAs are components of the Ro ribonucleoprotein particle (Ro RNP), in association with Ro60 and La proteins. The Y RNAs and Ro60 and La proteins are well conserved, but the function of the Ro RNP is not known. In humans the RNA component can be one of four small RNAs -- hY1, hY3, hY4 and hY5.
Source: Ensembl
GGCUGGUCCAAGUGCAGUGAUGUUUACAACUAACUGAUCACAACUAGUUGCAGAUUUCUUUGUUCCUUGCCACUCCCACUGCUUCACUCGACUAGCCAUAA